RNAcentral lists this unclassified non-coding RNA (234 nucleotides) under Hevea brasiliensis (rubber tree). The record is from RNAcentral. Lineage: Eukaryota; Viridiplantae; Streptophyta; Magnoliopsida; Malpighiales; Euphorbiaceae.
GGCUGUUUUUAAGGUUGUUGAACUCACAUCUCGUUAUAAGGAGGAGAGGGUUUUGUUGAGAACGACGGUAAUGGUCUUGUUGAAAAGUAGGAUGAGAGAUGAGAGAGCACCAUUGUUUACAAAUGCACCGGAACUUGCAGAGUGCCUUGACGGGAAAUCUUACCAGAAUUUCGUGCAGGACAUCAAUGGGGAGCUCCUUACCGAUUCCUUCUUUCGAGAUUCUUUCCAUUUCUG